GAGUUUGAUCAUGGCUCAGAUUGAACGCUGGCGGCAGGCCUAACACAUGCAAGUCGAGCGGUAGCACAGAGAGCUUGCUCUCGGGUGACGAGCGGCGGACGGGUGAGUAAUGUCUGGGAAACUGCCUGAUGGAGGGGGAUAACUACUGGAAACGGUAGCUAAUACCGCAUAACGUCGCAAGACCAAAGAGGGGGACCUUCGGGCCUCUUGCCAUCAGAUGUGCCCAGAUGGGAUUAGCUAGUAGGUGGGGUAACGGCUCACCUAGGCGACGAUCCCUAGCUGGUCUGAGAGGAUGACCAGCCACACUGGAACUGAGACACGGUCCAGACUCCUACGGGAGGCAGCAGUGGGGAAUAUUGCACAAUGGGCGCAAGCCUGAUGCAGCCAUGCCGCGUGUAUGAAGAAGGCCUUCGGGUUGUAAAGUACUUUCAGCGGGGAGGAAGGUGUUGAGGUUAAUAACCUCAGCAAUUGACGUUACCCGCAGAAGAAGCACCGGCUAACUCCGUGCCAGCAGCCGCGGUAAUACGGAGGGUGCAAGCGUUAAUCGGAAUUACUGGGCGUAAAGCGCACGCAGGCGGUCUGUCAAGUCGGAUGUGAAAUCCCCGGGCUCAACCUGGGAACUGCAUUCGAAACUGGCAGGCUAGAGUCUUGUAGAGGGGGGUAGAAUUCCAGGUGUAGCGGUGAAAUGCGUAGAGAUCUGGAGGAAUACCGGUGGCGAAGGCGGCCCCCUGGACAAAGACUGACGCUCAGGUGCGAAAGCGUGGGGGGCAAACAGGAUUAGAUACCCUGGUAGUCCACGCCGUAAACGAUGUCGACUUGGAGGUUGUGCCCUUGAGGCGUGGCUUCCGGAGCUAACGCGUUAAGUCGACCGCCUGGGGAGUACGGCCGCAAGGUUAAAACUCAAAUGAAUUGACGGGGGCCCGCACAAGCGGUGGAGCAUGUGGUUUAAUUCGAUGCAACGCGAAGAACCUUACCUACUCUUGACAUCCAGAGAACUUUCCAGAGAUGGAUUGGUGCCUUCGGGAACUCUGAGACAGGUGCUGCAUGGCUGUCGUCAGCUCGUGUUGUGAAAUGUUGGGUUAAGUCCCGCAACGAGCGCAACCCUUAUCCUUUGUUGCCAGCGGUUAGGCCGGGAACUCAAAGGAGACUGCCAGUGAUAAACUGGAGGAAGGUGGGGAUGACGUCAAGUCAUCAUGGCCCUUACGAGUAGGGCUACACACGUGCUACAAUGGCGCAUACAAAGAGAAGCGACCUCGCGAGAGCAAGCGGACCUCAUAAAGUGCGUCGUAGUCCGGAUUGGAGUCUGCAACUCGACUCCAUGAAGUCGGAAUCGCUAGUAAUCGUAGAUCAGAAUGCUACGGUGAAUACGU
RNAcentral lists this ribosomal RNA (1370 nucleotides) under unidentified marine bacterioplankton. RNAcentral describes it as "bacterial SSU rRNA". It matches the Rfam family "Bacterial small subunit ribosomal RNA", at positions 9 to 1371 of the family's 1533-position model. The record is from RNAcentral.